Molecule: transfer RNA, 77 nt
Filed under: Dactylosporangium vinaceum subsp. matsuzakiense
Lineage: Bacteria; Bacillati; Actinomycetota; Actinomycetes; Micromonosporales; Micromonosporaceae
Also listed under: 1 other name
Description: Dactylosporangium matsuzakiense tRNA-His
Rfam family: tRNA
About the family: Transfer RNA (tRNA) molecules are approximately 80 nucleotides in length. Their secondary structure includes four short double-helical elements and three loops (D, anti-codon, and T loops).
Source: RNAcentral
GUGGCCAUGGUGUACCGGUCCGUGCACAUCAGAUCGUGACUCUGAAGGUCCGGGUUCGAAUCCCGGUGGUCACCCCA